RNAcentral lists this ribosomal RNA (435 nucleotides) under uncultured bacterium. RNAcentral's name for it is "bacterial SSU rRNA". It matches the Rfam family "Bacterial small subunit ribosomal RNA", at positions 42 to 468 of the family's 1533-position model. The record is from RNAcentral.
UCAGGCCUAACACAUGCAAGUCGAACGAGAUUAUAGGGUAAGCUUGCUUACCUUAUAUGACAGUGGCGCACGGGUGCGUAACGCGUAUGCAACCUACCUUUAUCAGGGGGAUAGCCUCUCGAAAGAGAGAUUAAUACCGCAUAAAAACACAGUACGGCAUCGUACAAUGUUCAAACAUUUAUGGGAUAAAGAUGGGCAUGCGUGACAUUAGCUAGUUGGUGAGGUAACGGCUCACCAAGGCAACGAUGUCUAGGGGAUCUGAGAGGAUGACCCCCCACACUGGUACUGAGACACGGACCAGACUCCUACGGGAGGCAGCAGUAAGGAAUAUUGGUCAAUGGACGCAAGUCUGAACAGGCCAUGCCGCGUGCAGGAAGACGGCCCUACGGGUUUAAGGUGCUUUUAUACGGGAAUAAACCUUCUUUCGGAAAGAAG